Molecule: long non-coding RNA, 269 nt
Filed under: Ananas comosus (pineapple)
Lineage: Eukaryota; Viridiplantae; Streptophyta; Magnoliopsida; Poales; Bromeliaceae
Description: long non-coding RNA (ACOM_LNC029143)
Source: RNAcentral
AUAUAUAUGGAAUUGAGCUAGAAUACUUUUAGAAGCACCAACCCCUUGGUGCUUCUAAGUUUUUAGCCCUUGAAUCUACUCCUUGAUUACUAAUAGUCUUUGGAUCAAACACUAUUCCAUCUACCACCACCUACCAUCACUUAUACCAACAUCAUCUCAACCUCACAUCUCUCAAUCCAAUGGCUAAAAACUCAAAAGCACCACCUUCGUGGUGCUUUUGAGAGUAUUCUAGCUCAACUCUCCCUCUCUUUCUCCAUAUAUAUAUAUAU